GAGCCAUUAGCUCAGCUGGUAGAGUAUCUGACUUUUAAUCAGAGGGUCAGAGGUUCGAAUCCUCUAUGGCUCA
Molecule: transfer RNA, 73 nt
Filed under: Staphylococcus aureus
Lineage: Bacteria; Bacillati; Bacillota; Bacilli; Caryophanales; Staphylococcaceae
Also listed under: 6 other names
Description: tRNA-Lys
Rfam family: tRNA
About the family: Transfer RNA (tRNA) molecules are approximately 80 nucleotides in length. Their secondary structure includes four short double-helical elements and three loops (D, anti-codon, and T loops). Further hydrogen bonds mediate the characteristic L-shaped molecular structure. tRNAs have two regions of fundamental functional importance: the anti-codon, which is responsible for specific mRNA codon recognition, and the 3' end, to which the tRNAs corresponding amino acid is attached (by aminoacyl-tRNA synthetases). tRNAs cope with the degeneracy of the genetic code in two manners: having more than one tRNA (with a specific anti-codon) for a particular amino acid; and 'wobble' base-pairing, i.e. permitting non-standard base-pairing at the 3rd anti-codon position.
Source: RNAcentral